Molecule: long non-coding RNA, 1001 nt
Filed under: Vulpes vulpes (red fox)
Lineage: Eukaryota; Metazoa; Chordata; Mammalia; Carnivora; Canidae
Description: lncRNA (ENSVVUG00000017243.1)
Source: RNAcentral
UCCCCACGGGGAGAGGAAACCUGUGAAAUGAACCCAGCCGCCGGGCCGGGGGGCCUCCGGUUCCUGGCUGAGGGGCGGCCGGAAGCCAGCUCUGCCUCCCGCGGCCUGUCCACCAGACCUCAGCCCGCGGUCAGAUGGAAAACCCCGCAUCAGAGCACCACGCACAGCACCAGGCGGCUCGCGCACAAGUCACAGCGGCGCGCGCAGGACGAUGCAAAGCAACAUGCGUCUGUGGCACCACGUUCAAACAAGGUGUAAAGUAAGAAGAAAAGUUCAUAUUCGCAGACACAGCGCCUCAGCCUGCCCUGAAUUCCCGGAAUGCACCUUUCAUCAGACCCCCUGACCUCCCGGGGUCACGCCUGCAGGUUGGGGGAGGAAUUUGCCCCCCCCCACCCGUGUCCACCCACAGGCCACAGAGCCAGGGGCUCGGGGUGGGGGGUGAGUGUGGGCAGGGGCCUGGGAGGGCCGAGCCCGUCCUCAGUGUUGUUAAACCGCCGGCCACCUCCCUCCCUGUGCGUCCUGGGGACACCGCCCCCCACGGCAACCCACUCCCCGUUGAGGGCUGAUCCUGCCCCCGGUCACGGCCUCUACCCUGUGACCUUGGGUACAGACAUCGAGAAGGACGUGGUGACUCUCCAACACGUCUUCCAAAACAGAAGCGACAGAGCUACUGCCAUCCUGGUUUCCGAGCAGCUGCUUGGUGAGCGGCAGACACCCCCCAACCCCCCAGCGCCGGCACCCACCCUGCCCUCUGUGCCGCAGCCCCGGCGGCCCCCGCCCCUGGCAACCAGCACACGACUCGCUGUCUGUCUGGACGCUUCGUGGGAAUGGGGCGCACAGGACGCCCCCAUGGCGGGCUUCUUUCGUCCUCGAGGUCCGUCUGCGUUGUGGCGUCUAUCAGAAGUUCAUUCCUUGUUGUGGCCAAAUAAUAAUAUACCUGUUGUGCGGCUGGACUGUUUUUGUUCAUCCAUUUCUCAACUGAUGGACAUUUAGGUUGUUCC